GUAGGUGGCAAGCGUUGUCCGGAUUUACUGGGCGUAAAGGAUGCGUAGGCGGAUUUUAAGUGAGAUGUGAAAUACCCGGGGCUUAACUUGGGUGCUGCAUUUCAAACUGGGAAUCUAGAGUGCGGGAGAGGAGAAUGGAAUUCCUAGUGUAGCGGUGAAAUGCGUAGAGAUUAGGAAGAACACCAGUGGCGAAGGCGAUUCUCUGGACCGUAACUGACGCUGAGGCAUGAAAGCGUGGGUAGCAAACAGGAUUAGAUACCCUGGUAGUCCACGCCGUAAACGAUGAGUACUAGGUGUAGGAGGUAUCGACCCCUUCUGUGCCGCAGUUAACACAAUAAGUACUCCGCCUGGGAAGUACGAUCGCAAGAUUA
This 371-nucleotide ribosomal RNA is filed under the name uncultured organism. RNAcentral's name for it is "partial 16S ribosomal RNA". It matches the Rfam family "Bacterial small subunit ribosomal RNA", at positions 527 to 896 of the family's 1533-position model. The record is from RNAcentral.